Molecule: ribosomal RNA, 305 nt
Filed under: uncultured bacterium
Lineage: Bacteria
Description: bacterial SSU rRNA
Rfam family: Bacterial small subunit ribosomal RNA
Source: RNAcentral
UUUCCUACGGGGGGCAGCAGUAAGGGAUAUUGGUCAAUGGGGGAAACCCUGAACCAGCAACGCCGCGUGAGGGAAGACGGUUUUCGGAUUGUAAACCUCUGUCCUCUGUGAAGAUGAUGACGGUAGCAGAGGAGGAAGCUCCGGCUAACUACGUGCCAGCAGCCGCGGUAAUACGGAGGGUGCAAGCGUUACUCGGAAUCACUGGGCGUAAAGAGCGCGUAGGCGGGAUAGCAAGUCAGAUGUGAAAUCCUAUGGCUUAACCAUAGAACUGCAUUUGAAACUGUUAUUCUAGAGUAUGUGAGAGG